Molecule: ribosomal RNA, 497 nt
Filed under: uncultured bacterium
Lineage: Bacteria
Description: partial 16S ribosomal RNA
Rfam family: Bacterial small subunit ribosomal RNA
Source: RNAcentral
GAUGAACGCUGGCGGCGUGCCUAAUACAUGCAAGUCGAGCGAACAGACGAGGAGCUUGCUCCUUCGACGUUAGCGGCGGACGGGUGAGUAACACGUAGGUAACCUACCUAUAAGACUGGGAUAACUUCGGGAGACCGGAGCUAAUACCGGAUAAUAUUUCGAACCGCAUGGUUCGAUAGUGAAAGAUGGCUUUGCUAUCACUUAUAGAUGGACCUGCGCCGUAUUAGCUAGUUGGUAAGGUAACGGCUUACCAAGGCAACGAUACGUAGCCGACCUGAGAGGGUGAUCGGCCACACUGGAACUGAGACACGGUCCAGACUCCUACGGGAGGCAGCAGUAGGGAAUCUUCCGCAAUGGGCGAAAGCCUGACGGAGCAACGCCGCGUGAGUGAUGAAGGUCUUCGGAUCGUAAAACUCUGUUAUUAGGGAAGAACAAACGUGUAAGUAACUGUGCACGUCUUGACGGUACCUAAUCAGAAAGCCACGGCUAACUACGUG